Molecule: ribosomal RNA, 292 nt
Filed under: uncultured bacterium
Lineage: Bacteria
Description: partial 16S ribosomal RNA
Rfam family: Bacterial small subunit ribosomal RNA
Source: RNAcentral
AACGAACGCUGGCGGCAGGCCUAACACAUGCAAGUCGAGCGAUGAAGCUUCUUCGGGAGUGGAUUAGCGGCGGACGGGUGAGUAACGCGUGGGAACGUGCCCUUGGGUAAGGAACAACAGUUGGAAACGACUGCUAAUACCUUAUGAUCCUCUUUCGGGAGGCAAAGAUUUAUCGCCCAGGGAUCGGCCCGCGUUGGAUUAGGUAGUUGGUGGGGUAACGGCCUACCAAGCCUACGAUCCAUAGCUGGUUUGAGAGGAUGAUCAGCCACACUGGGACUGAGAUACGGCCCAG